This 252-nucleotide ribosomal RNA is filed under the name uncultured Gardnerella sp. Its description in RNAcentral is "partial 16S ribosomal RNA". It matches the Rfam family "Bacterial small subunit ribosomal RNA", at positions 103 to 354 of the family's 1533-position model. The record is from RNAcentral. Lineage: Bacteria; Bacillati; Actinomycetota; Actinomycetes; Bifidobacteriales; Bifidobacteriaceae.
CGGGUGAGUAAUGCGUGACCAACCUGCCCCAUGCUCCAGAAUAGCUCUUGGAAACGGGUGGUAAUGCUGGAUGCUCCAACUUGACGCAUGUCUUGCUGGGAAAGUGUUUAGUGGCAUGGGAUGGGGUCGCGUCCUAUCAGCUUGUAGGCGGGGUAAUGGCCCACCUAGGCUUCGACGGGUAGCCGGCCUGAGAGGGCGGACGGCCACAUUGGGACUGAGAUACGGCCCAGACUCCUACGGGAGGCAGCAGAA